RNAcentral lists this ribosomal RNA (345 nucleotides) under Gloeosoma sp. CO965. RNAcentral's name for it is "partial 12S ribosomal RNA". Lineage: Eukaryota; Metazoa; Arthropoda; Insecta; Coleoptera; Corylophidae. The record is from RNAcentral.
UGAAAAUGUAAAUUUUUAAUCUAAAUUAGUAAUAGUUAAGAUCUUUAAAAUUAAAAAAUUUGGCGGUAUUUUAGUCUUUUUAGAGGAAUUUGUCCCGUAAAUGAUAUUCCACGUGUUAAUAAAUUUAAUUUAGAAAUUUAUAUAUCGUUGUAGAAAAAUAUUUUAUAAGAAUUAAAUAUUUAAUAAAUUUUUAAAAAUUGAAAUCAAAUCAAGGUGUAGUUUAUAAUUAAAAGGAGAUGAAUUACAAUUAUGUUAAUAAUGGAUUAAAAAUUGUAAAUUUUUUUGAAAUUGGAUUUAAAAGUAAUUUAAAUUAAAUUAUUUAAAUGAGUAGGUUCUGAAAUAUGU